AUCCCAGACUCCUACGGGAGGCAGCAGUGAGGAAUAUUGGUCAAUGGGCGAGAGCCUGAACCAGCCAAGUCGCGUGAGGGAGUACUGCCCUAUGGGUUGUAAACCUCUUUUGUCGGGGAGCAAAAGCCGGACGUGUCCGGCUGUGAGAGUACCCGAAGAAAAAGCAUCGGCUAACUCCGUGCCAGCAGCCGCGGUAAUACGGAGGAUGCGAGCGUUAUCCGGAUUUAUUGGGUGUAAAGGGUGCGUAGACGGGGAAAUAAGUUAGUUGUGAAAUCCCUCGGCUCAACUGAGGAACUGCAACUAAAACUGGUUUUCUUGAGUGUUGGAGAGGAAAGCGGAAUUCCUAGUGUAGCGGUGAAAUGCGUAGAUAUUAGGAGGAACACCAGUGGCGAAGGCGGCUUUCUGGACAAUAACUGACGUUGAGGCACGAAAGUGUGGGGAGCAAACAGGAUUAGAUACCCGAGUAC
Molecule: ribosomal RNA, 467 nt
Filed under: uncultured bacterium
Lineage: Bacteria
Description: bacterial SSU rRNA
Rfam family: Bacterial small subunit ribosomal RNA
Source: RNAcentral